UGAGGGAUAUUGGUCAAUGGGCGCAAGCCUGAACCAGCGACGCCGCGUGGGUGAAGAAGGUCUUCGGAUCGUAAAGCCCUUUUCCCACUGAAGAGGAAGGACGGUAGGUGGGGAAGAAGUCUCGGCUAACUACGUGCCAGCAGCCGCGGUAAAACGUAGGAGACAAGCGUUAUCCGGAGUUACUGGGCGUAAAGGGCGUGCAGGUGGCGUCUUAAGUCUGUUGUGAAGGCGCCUGGCUUAACCGGGCGAGGCCAAUGGAGACUGAGAAGCUGGAGGACGGCGGAGGGGUGUGGAAUUCCGGGUGUAGUGGUGAAAUGCGUAGAGAUCCGGAGGAACACCAGAGGCGAAGGCGGCACUCUAAGCCGUACCUGACACUGAGACGCGACAGCACGGGGAGCAAACG
Molecule: ribosomal RNA, 403 nt
Filed under: uncultured bacterium
Lineage: Bacteria
Description: bacterial SSU rRNA
Rfam family: Bacterial small subunit ribosomal RNA
Source: RNAcentral